AGCAGUAGCCGCGGUAAUACCGAGGGUGCGAGCGUUAAUCGGAUUUACUGGGCGUAAAGCGUGCGUAGGCGGCUUCUUAAGUCGGAUGUGAAAUCCCUGAGCUUAACUUAGGAAUUGCAUUCGAUACUGGGAAGCUAGAGUAUGGGAGAGGAUGGUAGAAUUCCAGGUGUAGCGGUGAAAUGCGUAGAGAUCUGGAGGAAUACCGAUGGCGAAGGCAGCCAUCUGGCCUAAUACUGACGCUGAGGUACGAAAGCAUGGAGAGCAAACAGGAUUAGAUACCCCGGUAGUCCCUGUCUCUUAUAC
This 303-nucleotide ribosomal RNA is filed under the name uncultured bacterium. RNAcentral describes it as "partial 16S ribosomal RNA". It matches the Rfam family "Bacterial small subunit ribosomal RNA", at positions 507 to 807 of the family's 1533-position model. The record is from RNAcentral.